GCAUUAGUGGUGUAAUGGUUAACAUGUGGUCUUCCCAUUUCUGAGUGGCCGCGUUCGGGGUUCGAUUCCCCGCUAAUGCA
This is a non-coding RNA of Armillaria nabsnona, 80 nucleotides long. The record is from the annotation of a GenBank genome assembly. Lineage: Eukaryota; Fungi; Basidiomycota; Agaricomycetes; Agaricales; Physalacriaceae.